UGAUGAUAUAAUCUAAGUGAUGAAACGUCAAUUCUGUAUGUGACUGAUGAAAGGGAGAUUUCGCAUCACAAAGCAAAAAAAUACCCGUCCUUCUAUCAUGACACACUGUUUGCAUUUUACUUGCACAUGCUGUAGGAAUAUAGAGUUAUAGACAGUAUGCAUCACAGGCUUAUUGUGCUGAUGUUCUCAAUGGUAUCCAAAAUUUCCUUUGUAGAAUCAAAUAAGCAACGAAAUAUAUUAAUAAGUUUACAAUUUAGCUGUGUACCACAAAGAAUCAUGGAAACCAGAUUUCAGGUGUUUUGGAUGUGUGUGUUUAGUUCCGAAGGCAAUGGUUAACAAAUGUGUGUUUUCAGAUUUUUCAAAUGAAUUUCACCUUAUGGCUAGACCGCUAGAGCAUCUUCAAUGAAAUGCAAACCUGUUCAUUUGUCUUUACCAUUAAUAGUUUAAUACUCAUGCUGAAAUAUUGAGGUCUUCUAUUUACGCUUUGUGUGCUAUGUUUUGCUCUCACUGUACUUCAGUAAGAAUAUUAUUCAAAUUGUUCACCACGAUGUCCUAUAUUUCUAUGCUUGCAGGUUUUCCACCGGGAGAACAAUUUCUAGAUGCUAAAUUGAAAUGUAUUGUCCAGUGUCUUGUGAUGUCAUUAUUUCAUUAUUCAAGGUAUGUGUCUCACAAGGAAAUAGAAAAUCCUGAAUUUUGCAUGUGUGAUUGGUUCAACAACCUCAACCUCUGCACCUCACUGUCAACCACAUGCAAGCUUCCUCCUUGCUUUAGCCCUUGAACACAAAACAAGGAAACGAGGAUAUUUCGGAGUCCCAGUCUCACUGCCUUCAUGGACGCUGGAGCCACUGCCACCUUUACUAUGUGUGUGGUUAGGGCAUUGUGUGGCGAUAAACACAUGACCAGCAAGGGGCCCUGCCCCCCUCCAAAUACUAUGGAUUUGUUCAUAAUAAACACAUGAACAGUGCAGCAUUUGACUUGUUUUCUGCUCCGACCGUCCCUCCCCAACAUCCUAAUCCCACUAAUCCCGCCUCCGCCACUGCAGGCAUGCCGGCCUUUUCUUAAUUGCUAUACUUUUGAGGACGCAUCACUAAAAAAACUAAAAGAGGUUUCAUGGCAAUGAUGGAGUGCUACCAAAUUAUGUUCCAAGAAAAAUGAUUUCGGCCUCAACUUGACUACAUGCAUGUUGAAUUGUUGACCCGAUUUGACGGACUAUAUAAGUGCUCUUCUCUUUGGGAAUUUGAAAGCACAGCCCUUCUAAGCAUCGCACAAUAUAUAGGCUUAUAUAUGUGGUGGCUAUCAUUGGUACAAGCAUGUGUGCAUUAGACCAGAAAAGGGGUUUCAAACUCACAGAGCAUAUUGAAGGUGGUACAAAUCAUUGCAGAGUGAAUUACAAGUAGCUAUAUGUGGAUUGGAAUUUACUGAAGCUUUGCAUAUUCAAAUUUUUAAGUCGAAUGAGACAUGCAUUGCACGUGCAAGCUUACUAGUGACUGCAAAAGCAAGGUUUAGAGCCUGUUUGGUUAGAGGCCUCGUGAGUGUGCGUGAGAAAAUAAGGUGCCUGGGUAACGCCCGUGAUGAAGCAAAAAAUUGUUUGGCCAGACUCGCGUGCCACCCGCGUGUUUGUCUAUUGUCUUUGCCAGACUGAUGUGAGUUGACUGUUUAAAAUAUUUUCACAGAACAAAUGUACAAUUACUGGCCAGUUAUUACUGCCAGGUUGUUGCUGUAGCACGCCAGACGCAUGGAGAGGGACGCCUGGACUAGGCUAAUGAGGUUGCCUGGGCUAUCUCUUUUCAAUUUCUUAUUCCUAGUUGCCAUGCUAAUCACAUGGCAGGGACGGCCAAGCCAGGCAGACAUCUUUUUCUACGAGGACAGGAAGCAAACAGCUGUCACGUAGAACUCAGGGAUCAUCCAAGCCAGGCGUACAAUGGCGUGGAAGGCAUGUAAACACGCCCUUAGUCUUGUUAGUAUAGUAUAGCAUAACAUCCUUUCUAGCAUAGUACUCCCUUUGUUUCUAAAUUUAAGUCUUUUUAAAGAUUUCACUAUAAGCUAUGUACAGAUGUAUAUAGAUGUAUUUUAGUGUAUUUUUUACGGGGACGUAUUUUAGAGUGUAGAUUCACUCAUUUUGCUCUGUAUGGAGUCUGCAUUGGAAUCUCUAAAAUGACAUAUUUAGAAACAGAAGAAGUGUUAUUUUAGCAGGACAA
This is a long non-coding RNA of Triticum dicoccoides, 2198 nucleotides long. RefSeq lists it as uncharacterized. NCBI's taxonomy places the organism in Eukaryota, Viridiplantae, Streptophyta, Magnoliopsida, Poales, Poaceae. The transcript has 7 exons. The record is from RefSeq and is a predicted model, not a curated record.